This 87-nucleotide transfer RNA is filed under the name Dissulfurirhabdus thermomarina. Its description in RNAcentral is "tRNA-Leu". It matches the Rfam family "tRNA". Rfam says of the family: Transfer RNA (tRNA) molecules are approximately 80 nucleotides in length. Their secondary structure includes four short double-helical elements and three loops (D, anti-codon, and T loops). Lineage: Bacteria; Pseudomonadati; Thermodesulfobacteriota; Dissulfuribacteria; Dissulfuribacterales; Dissulfuribacteraceae. The record is from RNAcentral.
GCCGGAGUGGUGGAACUGGUAGACGCGCUGGACUCAAAAUCCAGUGGGCCUCGGCCCGUGCGAGUUCGAUUCUCGCCUCCGGCACCA